UACGAAGGGGGCUAGCGUUGCUCGGAAUCACUGGGCGUAAAGGGUGCGUAGGCGGGUUUUUAAGUCAGGGGUGAAAUCCUGGAGCUCAACUCCAGAACUGCCUCUGAUACUGAGGAGCUCGAGUCCGGGAGAGGUGAGUGGAACUCCGAGUGUAGAGGUGAAAUUCGUAGAUAUUCGGAAGAACACCAGUGGCGAAGGCGGCUCACUGGCCCGGUACUGACGCUGAGGUGCGAAAGCGUGGGGAGCAAACAGG
RNAcentral lists this ribosomal RNA (253 nucleotides) under uncultured bacterium. RNAcentral describes it as "partial 16S ribosomal RNA". It matches the Rfam family "Bacterial small subunit ribosomal RNA", at positions 524 to 776 of the family's 1533-position model. The record is from RNAcentral.